This 107-nucleotide small RNA is filed under the name Marmota monax (woodchuck). Lineage: Eukaryota; Metazoa; Chordata; Mammalia; Rodentia; Sciuridae. The record is from RNAcentral.
GCCUGGUGGUGCGCACCUGUAGUCCAGUUUCUUGGGAGGCUGAGACAGGAUUGCUUGAGCCCAGGAGUUCCAGGCCAGCCUGAGUGACAGAGUGAGACCCUGUCUCA